AAAUUGAAGAGUUUGAUCAUGGCUCAGAUUGAACGCUGGCGGCAGGCCUAACACAUGCAAGUCGAACGGUAACAGGAAGCAGCUUGCUGCUUUGCUGACGAGUGGCGGACGGGUGAGUAAUGUCUGGGAAACUGCCUGAUGGAGGGGGAUAACUACUGGAAACGGUGGCUAAUACCGCAUAACGUCGCAAGACCAAAGAGGGGGACCUUCGGGCCUCUUGCCAUCAGAUGUGCCCAGAUGGGAUUAGCUUGUUGGUGAGGUAACGGCUCACCAAGGCGACGAUCCCUAGCUGGUCUGAGAGGAUGACCAGCCACACUGGAACUGAGACACGGUCCAGACUCCUACGGGAGGCAGCAGUGGGGAAUAUUGCACAAUGGGCGCAAGCCUGAUGCAGCCAUGCCGCGUGUAUGAAGAAGGCCUUCGGGUUGUAAAGUACUUUCAGCGGGGAGGAAGGUGUUGCGGUUAAUAACCGCAGCAAUUGACGUUACCCGCAGAAGAAGCACCGGCUAACUCCGUGC
This 518-nucleotide ribosomal RNA is filed under the name Salmonella enterica. Its description in RNAcentral is "bacterial SSU rRNA". It matches the Rfam family "Bacterial small subunit ribosomal RNA", at positions 1 to 508 of the family's 1533-position model. Lineage: Bacteria; Pseudomonadati; Pseudomonadota; Gammaproteobacteria; Enterobacterales; Enterobacteriaceae. The record is from RNAcentral.